AGAGAGAUGGCAGAGUGGUCGAUUGCGACGGUCUUGAAAACCGUUGACUGUUACAGGUCCGGGGGUUCGAAUCCCUCUCUCUCUGCAA
Molecule: transfer RNA, 88 nt
Filed under: Dyadobacter psychrotolerans
Lineage: Bacteria; Pseudomonadati; Bacteroidota; Cytophagia; Cytophagales; Spirosomataceae
Description: Dyadobacter sp. AR-3-6 tRNA-Ser
Rfam family: tRNA
About the family: Transfer RNA (tRNA) molecules are approximately 80 nucleotides in length. Their secondary structure includes four short double-helical elements and three loops (D, anti-codon, and T loops). Further hydrogen bonds mediate the characteristic L-shaped molecular structure. tRNAs have two regions of fundamental functional importance: the anti-codon, which is responsible for specific mRNA codon recognition, and the 3' end, to which the tRNAs corresponding amino acid is attached (by aminoacyl-tRNA synthetases). tRNAs cope with the degeneracy of the genetic code in two manners: having more than one tRNA (with a specific anti-codon) for a particular amino acid; and 'wobble' base-pairing, i.e. permitting non-standard base-pairing at the 3rd anti-codon position.
Source: RNAcentral